GGGGUCGUAUUGGUUUUGACAGCAACCGUUUCAAAUUGUGUAAGCAUGCAGUGCGUUGGAUAAUUAGCACUUUAAUCUGAAUAUCUAAAACAUAAAAGGCGCAAAUAAUUUCGCCGUAGCAGCCUAAUUUAUACAUUAGUCUCCUACUUAGUAGUUAAAAAGGUAGUCUUAUUACCCAUUUAAUUACCGAAUCAAAACAAAAAUAAGAUGCUACAAAAGUUGUUGAUGCUUUUGUGUAAGAAAUAUUCAACUAAGAAUAAAAUAGGUUUGUUUAGCCCCAGUUUUAUUUUAAAAAUAAUGCUAAAAUAAGCAUGUAGAAAGCAGUAAGUUAUGUUGUUUGGACAGGGGUUCGAAUCCCCUCGACUCCACUA
Molecule: transfer-messenger RNA, 371 nt
Filed under: Sediminibacterium sp.
Lineage: Bacteria; Pseudomonadati; Bacteroidota; Chitinophagia; Chitinophagales; Chitinophagaceae
Rfam family: transfer-messenger RNA
About the family: Bacterial tmRNA, also known as 10Sa RNA or SsrA, is named for its dual tRNA and mRNA-like properties. Its role is to liberate the mRNA from a stalled ribosome. To accomplish this part of the tmRNA is used as a reading frame that ends in a translation stop signal.
Source: RNAcentral